Molecule: ribosomal RNA, 302 nt
Filed under: uncultured bacterium
Lineage: Bacteria
Description: partial 16S ribosomal RNA
Rfam family: Bacterial small subunit ribosomal RNA
Source: RNAcentral
GCAGCAGCCGCGGUAAUACAGAGGGUGCGAGCGUUAAUCGGAUUUACUGGGCGUAAAGCGUGCGUAGGCGGCUUCUUAAGUCGGAUGUGAAAUCCCUGAGCUUAACUUAGGAAUUGCAUUCGAUACUGGGAAGCUAGAGUAUGGGAGAGGAUGGUAGAAUUCCAGGUGUAGCGGUGAAAUGCGUAGAGAUCUGGAGGAAUACUGAUGGCGAAGGCAGCCAUCUGGCCUAACACUGACGCUGAGGUACGAAAGCAUGGGGAGCAAACAGGAUUAGAUACCCCCGUAGUCCCUGUCUCUUAUAC